GAUGAACGCUGGCGGCGUGCCUAAUACAUGCAAGUCGAGCGAACAGACGAGGCGCUUGCUCCUCUGACGUUAGCGGCGGACGGGUGAGUAACACGUGGAUAACCUACCUAUAAGACUGGGAUAACUUCGGGAAACCGGAUCUAAUACCGGAUAACAUGUUGAACCGCAUGGUUCAACGGUGAAAGACGGUUUUGCUGUCACUUAUAGAUGUAUCCGGGUCGCAUUAGCUAGUUGGUAAGGUAACGGCUUACCAAGGCAACGAUGCGUAGCCGACCUGAGAGGGUGAUCGGCCACACUGGAACUGAGACACGGUCCAGACUCCUACGGGAGGCAGCAGUAGGGAAUCUUCCGCAAUGGGCGAAAGCCUGACGGAGCAACGCCGCGUGAGUGAAGAAGGUCUUCGGAUCGUAAAACUCUGUUAUUAGGGAAGAACAAAUGUGUGAGUAACUAUGCACGUCUUGACGGUACCUAAUGAGAAAGCCACGGCUAACUACGUG
This 497-nucleotide ribosomal RNA is filed under the name uncultured bacterium. Its description in RNAcentral is "partial 16S ribosomal RNA". It matches the Rfam family "Bacterial small subunit ribosomal RNA", at positions 28 to 507 of the family's 1533-position model. The record is from RNAcentral.